This is a long non-coding RNA of Zonotrichia leucophrys gambelii, 868 nucleotides long. RefSeq lists it as uncharacterized. The record is from RefSeq and is a predicted model, not a curated record. NCBI's taxonomy places the organism in Eukaryota, Metazoa, Chordata, Aves, Passeriformes, Passerellidae. The transcript is spliced from 4 exons.
GGAGCUGCUGCCAGUGUCUGGAGGGGCAGGGGAAGGAGCCCCAGCCCAUCCUCUCCUGGGGAUUGUCUCUGCUGCCUGUGCUCAGCAUGGAACAAACACUGCACACGUGUUAAUAUUUAAAGGAGCUGUGCCAGUUAACGUUUCCAGCAGAGCUGCAGAGGGCUGAGGGCAGUGUCAGGGUGACACACGGUGCUGGCAGGCAGGGGCCUGAGACAGUGAGGUGUCCUUGGUUGCCAGGCCUGGAGGGAAUUGUUGUGUCUGCCCCAAAUGGGGGAGCAGCAGCUCACGCUGGGUGGAAGAGUCCCUGGGAAGGAAGGCUGCGUUCCCUGCUUUGCUUUUCCUGCAGCCCCAAGAUGAUGAUGCUUAAUGGGCACAUUUAGGGAGUGCUCGAAUCACAGCCCGCGCCUCGCUGGGCUUUUCUCAUGGAAAGAAAAGUUGUCAUGGAAACGGAGCAGCCGAGCUUUGAUCCCGCUGAAGGACCCGCGAGGAUGGGAGCAGAGGGGCCCUGCCGGGUCAGGGAGACCUGGCCAGAACCCCAGGGCAGCAGCAUCCCUGCUGGGAACAGAGGGGAGGGAAUGGGAGCUGAGAGGAGCAGCACCAUCCAUUCUCAACUCCUGCAUCAUCCACUCACAGAUCCUGCAUCAUCCACUCACAAUUCCAUCACUGUCCACUCCCAAUUCCUGCAUCAUCCACUCACAGCUCCUGCAUCAUUCGCUUCUGACUCCUGCAUCAUCCACCCAAAUUCCAUCAUCAUCCGCUCACAGCUCCUGCAUCAUCCACUCACAAUUCCUGCAUCAUCCACCCAAAUUCCAUCAUCAUCCACUCACAACUCCUGCAUCAUCCACUCACAAUUCCUGUAGCAUCCACU